RNAcentral lists this ribosomal RNA (427 nucleotides) under uncultured bacterium. RNAcentral describes it as "partial 16S ribosomal RNA". It matches the Rfam family "Bacterial small subunit ribosomal RNA", at positions 355 to 774 of the family's 1533-position model. The record is from RNAcentral.
UGGGGAAUAUUGCACAAUGGGCGCAAGCCUGAUGCAGCCAUGCCGCGUGUAUGAAGAAGGCCUUCGGGUUGUAAAGUACUUUCAGCGAGGAGGAAGGCGUUGUGGUUAAUAACCGCAGCGAUUGACGUUACUCGCAGAAGAAGCACCGGCUAACUCCGUGCCAGCAGCCGCGGUAAUACGGAGGGUGCAAGCGUUAAUCGGAAUUACUGGGCGUAAAGCGCACGCAGGCGGUCUGUCAAUUCGGAUGUGAAAUCCCCGGGCUCAACCUGGGAACUGCAUCCGAAACUGGCAGGCUAGAGUCUUGUAGAGGGGGGUAGAAUUCCAGGUGUAGCGGUGAAAUGCGUAGAGAUCUGGAGGAAUACCGGUGGCGAAGGCGGCCCCCUGGACAAAGACUGACGCUCAGGUGCGAAAGCGUGGGGAGCAAACA